RNAcentral lists this transfer RNA (71 nucleotides) under Morchella importuna. Its description in RNAcentral is "tRNA-Cys". It matches the Rfam family "tRNA". Rfam says of the family: Transfer RNA (tRNA) molecules are approximately 80 nucleotides in length. Their secondary structure includes four short double-helical elements and three loops (D, anti-codon, and T loops). Lineage: Eukaryota; Fungi; Ascomycota; Pezizomycetes; Pezizales; Morchellaceae. The record is from RNAcentral.
GGAUAUGUAGCAGAUGGUUCUGCGUUUUGAUUGCAAAUCUUAAAUAUGGGGUUCAAUUCCUCCAUAUCCCU